This 144-nucleotide unclassified non-coding RNA is filed under the name Cyathicula culmicola. Its description in RNAcentral is "partial internal transcribed spacer 2". The record is from RNAcentral. Lineage: Eukaryota; Fungi; Ascomycota; Leotiomycetes; Helotiales; Helotiaceae.
CAACCAAUCCAGCGUGCUGGGUCUUGGGCCUCGCCUUAGGGCGGGCCUUAAAAUCAGUGGCGGCGCCUCCCGGCUCUAAGCGUAGUAAUUCUUCUCGCUACAGGGUCCCGGGUGGAGGCUGGCCAGCAACCCCUAAUUCUCAAA